Molecule: ribosomal RNA, 465 nt
Filed under: uncultured bacterium
Lineage: Bacteria
Description: partial 16S ribosomal RNA
Rfam family: Bacterial small subunit ribosomal RNA
Source: RNAcentral
CCUACGGGUGGCAGCAGUGGGGAAUUUUGGACAAUGGGCGCAAGCCUGAUCCAGCUAUUCCGCGUGUGGGAUGACGGCCUUCGGGUUGUAAACCACUUUUGUAGAGAACGAAAAGUCUGUUGAUAAUACCGAUAGAUGAUGACGGUACUCUAAGAAUAAGCACCGGCUAACUACGUGCCAGCAGCCGCGGUAAUACGUAGGGUGCGAGCGUUAAUCGGAAUUACUGGGCGUAAAGGGUGUGCAGGCGGGUUUGCAAGAUGGAUGUGAAAGCCCCGGGCUUAACCUGGGAAAGCUAUACAGGACUGGAAGUCUAGAGUGCGUCAGAGGGGGGUGGAAUUACAAGGGUAGCAGGGAAAUGGGGAGAUAUUUGGAAGAACACCGAUGGAGAAGGCAGCCCCCUGGGACGCAACUGACGCUCAUACACGAAAGCGGGGGGAGCAAACAGGAUUAGAUACCCGUGUAGUC